AGAGUUUGAUUAUGGCUCAGGAUGAACGCUAGCUACAGGCUUAACACAUGCAAGUCGAGGGGCAGCAUGAUCGAAGCUUGCUUUGAUUGAUGGCGACCGGCGCACGGGUGAGUAACGCGUAUCCAACCUCCCCUUAGUAGGGCAUAGCCCGUAGAAAUGCGGAUUAAUACCCUAUGUUGUUCGUAGAGGACAUCUGAAAUGAACCAAAGGUUUACCGCUAAGGGAUGGGGAUGCGUCUGAUUAGGUAGUCGGCGGGGUAACGGCCCACCGAGCCUUCGAUCAGUAGGGGUUCUGAGAGGAAGGUCCCCCACAUUGGAACUGAGACACGGUCCAAACUCCUACGGGAGGCAGCAGUGAGGAAUAUUGGUCAAUGGACGAGAGUCUGAACCAGCCAAGUAGCGUGCAGGAUGACGGCCCUAUGGGUUGUAAACUGCUUUUAUACAGGGAUAAAGUUGGGAACGUGUUCCCUUUUGCAGGUACUGUAUGAAUAAGGACCGGCUAAUUCCGUGCCAGCAGCCGC
This 520-nucleotide ribosomal RNA is filed under the name uncultured bacterium. RNAcentral's name for it is "bacterial SSU rRNA". It matches the Rfam family "Bacterial small subunit ribosomal RNA", at positions 8 to 518 of the family's 1533-position model. The record is from RNAcentral.